RNAcentral lists this ribosomal RNA (409 nucleotides) under Fusobacteriota bacterium. RNAcentral describes it as "Fusobacteria bacterium partial 16S ribosomal RNA". It matches the Rfam family "Bacterial small subunit ribosomal RNA", at positions 355 to 776 of the family's 1533-position model. Lineage: Bacteria; Fusobacteriati; Fusobacteriota. The record is from RNAcentral.
UGGGGAAUAUUGCACAAUGGAGGGAACUCUGAUGCAGCAACGCCGCGUGCGGGAUGACGGCCUUCGGGUUGUAAACCGCUUUCAGCCAUGACGAAGCUUUUGUGACGGUAGUGGUAGAAGAAGCACCGGCUAACUACGUGCCAGCAGCCGCGGUGAUACGUAGGGUGCGAGCGUUGUCCGGAAUUAUUGGGCGUAAAGAGCUUGUAGGCGGUUUGUCGCGUCGAUAGUGUAAACACGCAGCUUAACUGUGUGCCUGCUGUCGAUACGGGCUGACUAGAGGAUGGUAGGGGAGAAUGGAAUUCCCGGUGGAGCGGUGGAAUGCGCAGAUAUCGGGAGGAACACCAGUGGCGAAGGCGGUUCUCUGGACCUUUCCUGACGCUGAGAAGCGAAAGCGUGGGUAGCAAACAGG